GCCGGGAUGGUCUAAUCGGCUAAGGCGUUGCCCCAAAUAGGUGAAGGUUGCGGGUUCGAUCCUCGCUCCUGGCC
RNAcentral lists this transfer RNA (74 nucleotides) under Ixodes scapularis (black-legged tick). RNAcentral describes it as "tRNA-Phe for anticodon AAA". It matches the Rfam family "tRNA". From Rfam's summary of the family: Transfer RNA (tRNA) molecules are approximately 80 nucleotides in length. Their secondary structure includes four short double-helical elements and three loops (D, anti-codon, and T loops). Further hydrogen bonds mediate the characteristic L-shaped molecular structure. tRNAs have two regions of fundamental functional importance: the anti-codon, which is responsible for specific mRNA codon recognition, and the 3' end, to which the tRNAs corresponding amino acid is attached (by aminoacyl-tRNA synthetases). tRNAs cope with the degeneracy of the genetic code in two manners: having more than one tRNA (with a specific anti-codon) for a particular amino acid; and 'wobble' base-pairing, i.e. permitting non-standard base-pairing at the 3rd anti-codon position. Lineage: Eukaryota; Metazoa; Arthropoda; Arachnida; Ixodida; Ixodidae. The record is from RNAcentral.